AGCCACACAAAUUCCAGGGUUACUCAAGCAGAUGCUGGCUGUAUUGGAUGAGAAUGCUCUGCCAGGACUACAGGAAAUCAGUGGCCAAAACUGCAGCAAUCACGGUCCUCUGGUGUGCUGUGGAAUGAAACGUCCUUGUAAAAAAAGCACUGUUCAUCACCCACAAAGAGUUCACCACUGACUAACUGCCUACAGGGAGCCUAGAGUUGCACUCUAGCCCCCCUGAGGGCAGCGAAAGCCAAUCGCUGUGCAGUGACAAGAUGAGCAACCAAGACAGGCCAGUGUGGGAAAACACAUUGACUCUCUGGCAGCUCUGGAGUGCUUCCUUACGGUAGACCUAGAUUCUGACCAGAUCAUGAGGGUCUGUGAAAGUUCCGCGAGAGUGGCCUGCCCAACAGCACCCUUUGGACGUAGGAU
Gasterosteus aculeatus aculeatus (three-spined stickleback) is the source of this 417-nucleotide long non-coding RNA. The record is from Ensembl. Lineage: Eukaryota; Metazoa; Chordata; Actinopteri; Perciformes; Gasterosteidae.